This 253-nucleotide ribosomal RNA is filed under the name uncultured bacterium. RNAcentral describes it as "partial 16S ribosomal RNA". It matches the Rfam family "Bacterial small subunit ribosomal RNA", at positions 524 to 776 of the family's 1533-position model. The record is from RNAcentral.
GACAGAGGAGGCAAGCGUUGUUCGGAAUCAUUGGGCUUAAAGGGCGUGUAGGCGGCAACGCAAGUGUCGAGUGAAAUCCCAUCGCUCAACGAUGGAACGGCUCGGCAAACUGCGUGGCUUGAGGUCGGUAGAGGUGCUCGGAACUCUAGGUGGAGCGGUGAAAUGCGUAGAUAUCUAGAGGAACGCCUGAGGCGAAAGCGGGGCACUGGGCCGACACUGACGCUGAGGUGCGAAAGCGUGGGGAGCAAACAGG